GAUGAACGCUGGCGGCGUGCCUAAUACAUGCAAGUCGAGCGAACGGACGAGAAGCUUGCCUCUCUGAUGUUAGCGGCGGACGGGUGAGUAACACGUGGAUAACCUACCUAUAAGACUGGGAUAACUUCGGGAAACCGGAGCUAAUACCGGAUAAUAUUUUGAACCGCAUGGUUCAAAAGUGAAAGACGGUCUUGCUGUCACUUAUAGAUGGAUCCGCGCUGCAUUAGCUAGUUGAUAAGGUAACGGCUUACCAAGGCAACGAUGCAUAGCCGACCUGAGAGGGUGAUCGGCCACACUGGAACUGAGACACGGUCCAGACUCCUACGGGAGGCAGCAGUAGGGAAUCUUCCGCAAUGGGCGAAAGCCUGACGGAGCAACGCCGCGUGAGUGAUGAAGGUCUUCGGAUCGUAAAACUCUGUUAUUAGGGAAGAACAUAUGUGUAAGUAACUGUGCACAUCUUGACGGUACCUAAUCAGAAAGCCACGGCUAACUACGUG
Molecule: ribosomal RNA, 497 nt
Filed under: uncultured bacterium
Lineage: Bacteria
Description: partial 16S ribosomal RNA
Rfam family: Bacterial small subunit ribosomal RNA
Source: RNAcentral